RNAcentral lists this ribosomal RNA (854 nucleotides) under human gut metagenome. Its description in RNAcentral is "bacterial SSU rRNA". It matches the Rfam family "Bacterial small subunit ribosomal RNA", at positions 23 to 878 of the family's 1533-position model. The record is from RNAcentral.
CUCAGGAUGAACGCUGGCGGCGUGCCUAAUACAUGCAAGUCGAACGCUUCACUUCGGUGAAGAGUGGCGAACGGGUGAGUAAUACAUAAGUAACCUGGCAUCUACAGGGGGAUAACUGAUGGAAACGUCAGCUAAGACCGCAUAGGUGUAGAGAUCGCAUGAACUCUAUAUGAAAAGUGCUACGGGACUGGUAGAUGAUGGACUUAUGGCGCAUUAGCUGGUUGGUAGGGUAACGGCCUACCAAGGCGACGAUGCGUAGCCGACCUGAGAGGGUGACCGGCCACACUGGGACUGAGACACGGCCCAGACUCCUACGGGAGGCAGCAGUAGGGAAUUUUCGGCAAUGGGGGAAACCCUGACCGAGCAACGCCGCGUGAAGGAAGAAGUAAUUCGUUAUGUAAACUUCUGUCAUAGAGGAAGAACGGUGGAUAUAGGGAAUGAUAUCCAAGUGACGGUACUCUAUAAGAAAGCCACGGCUAACUACGUGCCAGCAGCCGCGGUAAUACGUAGGUGGCGAGCGUUAUCCGGAAUUAUUGGGCGUAAAGAGGGAGCAGGCGGCACUAAGGGUCUGUGGUGAAAGAUCGAAGCUUAACUUCGGUAAGCCAUGGAAACCGUAGAGCUAGAGUGUGUGAGAGGAUCGUGGAAUUCCAUGUGUAGCGGUGAAAUGCGUAGAUAUAUGGAGGAACACCAGUGGCGAAGGCGACGAUCUGGCGCAUAACUGACGCUCAGUCCCGAAAGCGUGGGGAGCAAAUAGGAUUAGAUACCCUAGUAGUCCACGCCGUAAACGAUGAGUACUAAGUGUUGGGAGUCAAAUCUCAGUGCUGCAGUUAACGCAAUAAGUACUCCGCCUGAGU